AUGAAGUUAUCCCUACAAAAUCAUAUAGUCUGGCUAUGCUCCAUCUUCAUCACACAAAGUAUUUCAUCAAGCACAACCCCGAUGGCAAGCCAAGCAAUUGUUUCAUACUUUUAG
Molecule: ribosomal RNA, 114 nt
Filed under: Triticum aestivum (bread wheat)
Lineage: Eukaryota; Viridiplantae; Streptophyta; Magnoliopsida; Poales; Poaceae
Description: partial small subunit ribosomal RNA
Source: RNAcentral